AGAAUUUUGGAAAGAACAAGAUGAAGAACAAGAGGAGGCAGCGGCGUGAGAGAGGGAUGAGAGCUCAAGGAAGAAAAGAAAGAAUCACUGCUUCUUUGUUGACAGGAAAAUAAUGAGAAGGAACAUGUGGUUAUAAUGGGUUUGGGUUGCUUAUCCCAUAGGUGUCCACUAGUAUUACUUAUACUCUCAAUUGGUCACUUAAAAUUUCUUAACGUAUUCCUAUCUUGGUCAAAAUUUAACUAAACUACUCACAAAGUUUCCGGUUGAUGUAUAAUUCUA
This 279-nucleotide long non-coding RNA is filed under the name Trifolium pratense (red clover). Its description in RNAcentral is "long non-coding RNA (TPRA_LNC009752)". The record is from RNAcentral. Lineage: Eukaryota; Viridiplantae; Streptophyta; Magnoliopsida; Fabales; Fabaceae.